AGUCGGGAGGCGGGAGAAGCGAGCUGCCCCAGCGGCCUCUCACCUGUGUCGUCCCCUCGCGUCUGGGCGGCUGCGCUGCUGUUGUGGUAGGACUGGAGUUGCUGAGACAAAGGAAAACCCACUCCCUUGGAGGAGCAUGACCUUUUCCUGUAAUUCUUCCCACUGCUGUUGUUGAGCUCCUUGGAUCCUGGCUCCUGGACACCAUCAUCAAGAAGACUUUAUGGAUGGGCUGUCCACCCACUGAGAGAAGAGGAGCAUCAGCUACAGUUUCUCUCUAGAUUGCCUUCUUCAUUUUGAGUAAUGACUGUCAGCAGGGUCAGAUUAAACACAAAACAACUGGACAAUUGCUUGGAGGACUAAACUAUAAGGGCACUAACAUGUCAAUAGUAGGCUAACACAUCCAUGGAAAAUAUAUUUACCAGCUCUUCUCUCAGGGAGGAUUCUGUGUGGGGUUGGAAGUAAUGAUUUGUUAAAUUCCUUAGGGGUAGAAAGUAGGGCAUAAUCAGAAUAUAGAGGAAUAUGCUGUUUGACUUCAGGGUUUCUGUUUUUCUUACUAGGAUAUAUAAAACAGGGACUCUAGCUAGAUUGUUUAUGACCACAGAGGGUAGGCUGAGUGCUCCCAUGAUCUUCCUGCUUGGUUCUUGCCCAUACAGAGGUCAGCCUUUCCUCUAAUAAAGAUUGAACAAGUAGUGGUCUGAGGGAGACACCAAUUCAUUACCCUACAUGUCUCUUCUCUGCACUCCAGGGCUUUGAUAAUAAAGACACUGGCAGACUAUCUAUCUUCCAUUUCUAUAAUGUGAGCCCUUAGGGAGUCUUCGUUCACUUGGGGGUGAGGGUCAUUGCUCACAGAGUAGUUCAAGUCAAAUGGAACUUGAACUCUUUGCCUAUGGGCCUGGUGGUCAGACUCUGUGUUGAGUUCAUUAGAUUAUUGGAGACACAAGGUAGAGCUGGAUGCUUCAAAAAUAUUUGGCUAAAGGAUGACAUUGCUGGUUAUUUGUAGAUAAAGCCAUGAUGGAACCUGCUUGGAAUCAUGAAAUAUGGAACUGGUGGUCAUGUUUAAAAAUACAACUAAUAGUUAAGUACCUACUGGACACUGUAGAGACUUAGGGGCUAGACAGACAUGGUUCCUGCCCCCUUGGAGCUUACACUGUAGCUUCCCCUUAGGUAUGAAGAACAGUGGCUACAACUAACAAAUGGCCACAAAGAUAUAAUUGAGCCAGUGUUCCAAUUAUUAGGGUAAUUCCUAUUUCCUUAAUCAUUCCUAUUGACCAUGUUCUAUAAGCCUGCAUUCUAUAAAUGGCGUAUGACCAUGGGCUGUUUCCCCCCAGCAAGUUGUACAAAGUUCUGUGGUACCAGGGAAAGGGCUUAAGGUUAGCAGGGCCUCUGCGGAAGGACAUAUGAAGUGACUUGGGUUAGGAAACAGGAAGGGAUAGGAUUCAAGAACAGCUAUUGCUUCUGUUCUAUAUAGGAAACUGCAGCGUGAAAAAUGCUGGGCUGGGAAUUUUGAGACCUGGGUUUUAGUUUGUGUUCUAAUACUAACAAGCUAUGUGACUGUGGGUAAGUCAUUUCACAUUCCAUUUGGAUGCCUCUUGAGUGACUCCAGGCCUCUCCAGCUCUAAAACAUUAAGAUCAGGCCCUACGCUACAGCUGGCCAGUGUGUAAUUCUUCUGUUUCUAUGCUGUUAGGUCAAAUAGAUCUUCAAUAGUUACUUGAUUGUUAUUACUUUUUUCUGAAGUGGGUGUUUUAUCAAUGUUUUAGGAUACAGUGAGUCUGCUUCUCCCCUUUGGAGUUAGGAAGGUUGUAGGAAUAUACACUGUAGAGCAUAUGGGAGCUUUAUCCCCUCCUUUUUUCCCCGCUACCUUUCUCCCUCUCCUUCCCUUCAUCACAUUUCUAUUGAGCAUAUGCCAUUGCCGUGUACCAGGUGUGUGCUAGGUUUGGAGAUACAAGGUAAACCUGAGACUUUCCCAGUCUCCAGGAGACAAAACCCUAAUUUCUUUCAUCUGCUGUCUUUCUCUUUGGAAAGAAUCAACGAUAUCCCAGGGGAAUGUGCCCAUGUCCCAGGGUAACCAACUACAGACAGAUGCCCCAUUCUACUCAAGCAACUUUUAGAGUGCCUUGAGAUACACAUCAGAUAAUUAUGCAGGGCCAGGCAUGGUGCUGCACACUUGUAAUCACAGCACUUUGGGAGGCCGAGGCAGCAGAUUGCUUGAGCCCAGGAAUUCAAGUGUAGCCUAGGGAACAUGGCAAAACCCCAGCUCUACAAAAAAAUACACAAAUUAGCUGCGUGUGGUGGCCUAUGACAGGAGGCUGAGAUGGGAGGAUUGCUUGAGCCUGUGAGGUCGAGGCUGCAGUGAGCCGAGAUCAUGCCAUUACUCCAGCCUGGGUGACAUAGGGAGACCCUGUCUUGAAAAAAAAAAAAAAAAGAUAAUUAUUCAGCCCUAGAGUCAUUGUGAAAAGAUCUAUCUUCAGAUAUAAGGAAGAAACAAUCUUUUAUUUCUUAGGAUAAAUCUGUAGAAGGACCUCCAGACAGUGAAGGCCACUGACUACUUUAUACUCUGUAAGCCAUCCCUCCCUGGUAGGAAGGACUAUUUCCAAUCUUACAGAGUACCUCUCAGCAAAUAGACGUUUUCACAUAUACUGUGAUUCAUACAUCCCUAUGGCUGGUGACCUCUUUAAAAAGGAAAGGAAAAAGCCUAAUCAAACAAAAAGAUGCUGCUAGUAAUUCUUACCCUAUUGUGAAUCCUAUAUAAGCAAAUUUGUAUCUUUGUUUUUUCCUACAUUAGCAGAUCUAUUUGAUGUAUAUCUCUGAGUGCAGAAAAUAUUUUAUGGAAAAAUCAAUAUAUGGAAUUUCAAAUUCAGAAUUGCUGAUACACACUAUUUGGUUUCACAAUUUUAUCCUAGGAAAUAGUAUUAGAGAUUUCAAUUUCUGGCUUAAAUGGUAGAAUUAAUUACUCUUAACUCUUAAUUUUACUUCUGAGUUGAGGUCAAGGAACAGGCAGACACCUGCAGUUAACGUCUAUACCUCUCCAUGGCCAAGAGUUUUAAUUUUCUCGUCUUCAAUUUUGUAGAUGUUCAUCAUUACUAAAUGGAUUGAUUAGUAUUUUAUCUCCUCUCCUUGUCCUUACUUUCCCUCUGGUAAAUAUGUUAUAAACAGUGUAAGGCUCCUAAGAUAGAGUAGCUGGUAGGACUUAGAAGAGAAACAAAGGGCACUGAUAACUCACAUAAAUGGAAAAUUGGCUCUGGAAUAACUGACAACAUAUUCAAGUAUUUUAGUGCAGUGUCACUCUCAUUAAGAAGAAGAGAAUCAGUAAAUCUAUGUGACUCUAAACAUUCUAAUGAAAAAAGGAAUAUUCUGCCAAUUAUCUCACAUUUCUAAAUAUCUGGAUAUUGGCCAUUGUAAAGACAAAACAUACAGAUGAUGGACUUGUCUUUCCACCUCUCAUUUGCAUGGUUUGGAGCAUUGUACCUCCAGCCAUAGACUCUAAGGCAAUUUAUAUUUGCUUCCUCUUCCCUCUUGAGAGAAAACGAAAAUCUUAUUUUUCCAAGCAAUUAAAACUCUUCUGCUUCAGCUAGGAUGAAAGAAUUAGGAGUUCUGUCUCCUUGUAUCUAAUUGCAUGUUUCAUCUUUCUUGUUUUAAUGAUUGACAGAAAACUAAUAAACUGAGACAUCUUUGAAUCCAGGUUGAAUGUACUCUCUUGGUGGCCCCAUUGCUAAUUUGUUUGACUAUUUUGCAGGAUUUCUUACUCUGUAAUGGAAAGGUUUAUUAAAUAUGAGGGGUGCAAAGCUUUCUGAAUACUAAUGAACUUAUUUGCCAAAAUUUAAAUGUUCUUCUUGUCAGUGAAUGUCUGUCUCUCUUAACAGGAUCCAAAUUGAAUAAUGAAGAAAAUUAGACUCUAUUGUACCCUCAGGAGAAAUCGUGGUGAAUCGUAAUAGAAUACAGAGGGGGAAAGGGGUCACAUUUUAGAAAAAAAGAGUAGAUAAUUUGGAUUAUUAAAAAAGGGAUUAACUCAGGAAAACUCUGUUCUUUUCAAAGAAACGUACUCAUAGUCAUUCAAUGAGCAGGAUUUCCCACUGCACAAGCAUCUAUACCUUUGGCCAGUGUAGAAAGAGAGUAAGGUCAUAAUCAUAUGGAGAUGCAUGCUAGGUUUCAGUAGUUACAAUUUACUAAUCUCAUUCCCAUAUAAGGCCUUUAUAUGCCUGUAAUGGAAUGGGAAAAUCAAUAAGCUUUGAAAAGGAACACUAUUCUUCAGAGAAGUUCAAUGGGAGAUAGUUGAGUUGGGGAAAUUGCCCCAGUUCUUCCUUUAAGCAUGAAAUGAGGCUGUCCCUAUGUAUGUUUACUUCCAUUGCCUUGGUGUUAUCACUGAUAAAGUCAAUGAUCAUGAUGCCUUUGCCUUGGCAGCACCUGGGGGGCACUGAAGGAACCAAGUAGCUGUACUCAUGGCCAGGAAGGCAGGCUGCCAGAACUUCAGCAGCCACACAAGUGGCCAAACAUGGUCAGGAACGAAAGUAGUGUGUGUAUGGAGUGAAAUGAAAUGAUGAGAGGAAAGUGAAGGAUGAUAUAAAGAUGGGGCUGUCCAAAGAUGGGAGUUCAUCCCUGUCCUGCACUUGAAAUAGGAAGGAAAGAACUGGAGAAGGAUUAGGUGAGGAAGGAUCCUGAAAUAGAGAAAAUAAAGGGAAGACUGCAUGCCUGCAGUGUUUGCUAAAAUUAAUUCGCCUGAGAUUUCAGGAGGAGCAAAGAAAGAUCAAGAGAAAGGGAAAACAGCCUCAAAGCCUGUGAAGGUUGAAAAACAAAAUAUAAACAAAAAAUUUUUAAAGCUAAGAUUAUGCUCUUCUAAGAAAAGAGGCUGGACACUAACAGAAAGCUUGAUGACAGCAGGAUUUGUAUUUAGCGGUUUAUUUAGAUCCCUAAGAAAAAAGGCUUAUGUGACAUAGAUUCAUAAGACACAAAUGUGUCCUUGGCUGACCAUACUAGGCUUCACUCCCAAAGGAGAAAAAGAAUGGUCGGCGCAUCUCAGAUUAACACCAACCAACUGUGCAAUAUUUCAUUUUAGAAAGCGUUUCCUUGUAUUAUCCAUGAUUAAAUAAAAAGAGACCUAGUGUAUUUGAUUGCUUCUGUGGCAAGGCUUGAGAAUUACAAACCUAGGUUUCCCUCUGGGAAUGAUCAUUGGAUUUUUAAAAUUAAGUAAGUGGAAGGAGAUUAAGAUUUAUUUCCAUCAUUUCAAAUCAUGAUCUGCACCUUUGGAAACAAAAAGGAAGUUGGAAAGUGGGAAGGUGAGGUAGGUGUGCAAGAAUGGGGAGAAAGAUGCUGCAAGCCAAAUAAGACUGUAUAAUUUCUGAGAAAAUU
Molecule: long non-coding RNA, 5344 nt
Filed under: Homo sapiens (human)
Lineage: Eukaryota; Metazoa; Chordata; Mammalia; Primates; Hominidae
Description: non-protein coding DLX6-AS1:36
Source: RNAcentral